This 293-nucleotide ribosomal RNA is filed under the name uncultured bacterium. RNAcentral's name for it is "partial 16S ribosomal RNA". It matches the Rfam family "Bacterial small subunit ribosomal RNA", at positions 399 to 691 of the family's 1533-position model. The record is from RNAcentral.
GCGUGGGUGAUGAAGCACUGAGGUGUGUAAAACCCUGUUAGGAGGGAAGAAUAUCCCGACUUGUCGGGACUGACGGUACCUCCAGAGAAAGCUCCGGCUAACUCCGUGCCAGCAGCCGCGGUAACACGGGGGGAGCAAGCGUUGUCCGGAUUUACUGGGCGUAAAGGGCGUGUAGGCGGGAUGGUAAGUCAGUGGUGAAAUCUUGCGGCUUAACCGUAUAAUGUGCUGCUGAUACUGCCAUUCUUGAGUACGGAAGAGGGAAGUGGAAUUCCUGGUGUAGCGGUGAAAUGCGU